RNAcentral lists this transfer RNA (73 nucleotides) under Gemmatimonadota bacterium. RNAcentral's name for it is "Gemmatimonadetes bacterium (groundwater metagenome) tRNA-Ala". It matches the Rfam family "tRNA". Rfam says of the family: Transfer RNA (tRNA) molecules are approximately 80 nucleotides in length. Their secondary structure includes four short double-helical elements and three loops (D, anti-codon, and T loops). Further hydrogen bonds mediate the characteristic L-shaped molecular structure. tRNAs have two regions of fundamental functional importance: the anti-codon, which is responsible for specific mRNA codon recognition, and the 3' end, to which the tRNAs corresponding amino acid is attached (by aminoacyl-tRNA synthetases). tRNAs cope with the degeneracy of the genetic code in two manners: having more than one tRNA (with a specific anti-codon) for a particular amino acid; and 'wobble' base-pairing, i.e. permitting non-standard base-pairing at the 3rd anti-codon position. The record is from RNAcentral. Lineage: Bacteria; Pseudomonadati; Gemmatimonadota.
GGGGCGGUAGCUCAGCUGGGAGAGCACCGGCUUUGCAAGCCGGGGGUCGAGGGUUCGAAUCCCUUCCGCUCCA